GCCGGGGUAGCUCAAUCGGUAGAGCGUGUGGCUCUUAUAGCAAGCAAUUGCAGACGAGAUCACCUCAAGGUCGCGGGUUCGAGCCCCGCCUUCGGCU
RNAcentral lists this transfer RNA (97 nucleotides) under Friedmanniomyces endolithicus. It matches the Rfam family "tRNA". Rfam says of the family: Transfer RNA (tRNA) molecules are approximately 80 nucleotides in length. Their secondary structure includes four short double-helical elements and three loops (D, anti-codon, and T loops). Lineage: Eukaryota; Fungi; Ascomycota; Dothideomycetes; Mycosphaerellales; Teratosphaeriaceae. The record is from Rfam by way of RNAcentral.